GAUGAACGCUGGCGGCGUGCCUAAUACAUGCAAGUCGAGCGGACGGACGAGAAGCUUGCUUCUCUGAUGUUAGCGGCGGACGGGUGAGUAACACGUGGAUACCCUACCUAUAAGACUGGGAUAACUUCGGGACACCGGAGCUAAUACCGGAUGAUAUUUUGAACCGCAUGGUUCAAAAGUGAAAGACGGUCUUGCUGUCACUUCUCGAUGGAUCCGCGCUGCAUUAGCUAGUUGGUAAGGUAACGGCUUACCAAGGCAACGAUGCGUAGCCGACCUGAGAGGGUGAUCGGCCACACGGGAACUGAGACGCGGUCCAGACUCCUACGGGAGGGCGCAGUAGGGAAUCUUCCGCAAUGGGCGAAAGCCUGACGGAGCAGGGCCGCGUGAGUGAUGAAGGUCUUCGGAUCGUAAAACUCUGUUAUUAGGGAAGAACAUAUGUGUAAGGAACCGUGCACAUCUUGACGGUACCGAAUCAGAAAGCCCCGGCUAACUACGUG
Molecule: ribosomal RNA, 497 nt
Filed under: uncultured bacterium
Lineage: Bacteria
Description: partial 16S ribosomal RNA
Rfam family: Bacterial small subunit ribosomal RNA
Source: RNAcentral